Molecule: ribosomal RNA, 487 nt
Filed under: uncultured bacterium
Lineage: Bacteria
Description: bacterial SSU rRNA
Rfam family: Bacterial small subunit ribosomal RNA
Source: RNAcentral
GACGAACGCUGGCGGCGUGCUUAACACAUGCAAGUCGAACGAGGUCCAUGAAGUAGCAAUACUUCGGAAGACCUAGUGGCGAACGGGUGCGUAACACGUGAGGAACUUGUCCCGGUCUCUGGGAUAACAGUUGGAAACGACUGCUAAUACCGGAUGACGUCGGAGCAUCGCAUGGUGCGCUGACGAAAGGGUUACUGGAUCGGGAGAGCCUCGCGGCCUAUCAGCUUGUUGGUGGGGUAACGGCCUACCAAGGCAUCGACGGGUAGCUGGUCUGAGAGGAUGAUCAGCCACACUGGGACUGAGACACGGCCCAGACUCCUACGGGAGGCAGCAGUGGGGAAUCUUGCGCAAUGGGCGAAAGCCUGACGCAGCAACGCCGCGUGCGGGAAGAAGGGCUCUCGGGUUGUAAACCGCUUUCAGCAGGAACGAAAAUGACGGUACUUGCAGAAGAAGGUGCGGCCAACUACGUGCCAGCAGCCGCGGUAAU